This 450-nucleotide ribosomal RNA is filed under the name uncultured bacterium. RNAcentral describes it as "bacterial SSU rRNA". It matches the Rfam family "Bacterial small subunit ribosomal RNA", at positions 354 to 796 of the family's 1533-position model. The record is from RNAcentral.
GUGGGGAAUUUUGCGCAAUGGGCGAAAGCCUGACGCAGCAACGCCGCGUGGGUGAUGAAGGUCUUCGGAUUGUAAAACCCUGUCGCCAGGGACGAAGGGGAUGAGGUUAAUAGCCUUGUUCUUUGACGGUACCUGGAAAGGAAGCCCCGGCUAACUCUGUGCCAGCAGCCGCGGUAAUACAGAGGGGGCAAGCGUUAUUCGGAAUUAUUGGGCGUAAAGGGCGCGUAGGCGGUUUUUUAAGUCGGAUGUGCAAUCCCUGGGCUCAACCCAGGAACUGCAUCCGAGACUGGAAGGCUAGAGUACUGGAGAGGGUGGUGGAAUUCCUCGUGUAGCGGUGAAAUGCGUAGAGAUGAGGAGGAACACCAGUGGCGAAGGCGGCCACCUGGACAGUAACUGACGCUGAGGCGCGAAAGCGUGGGUAGCAAACAGGAUUAGAUACCCCAGUAGUCC